This 69-nucleotide transfer RNA is filed under the name Nothobranchius nubaensis. RNAcentral describes it as "tRNA-Thr". It matches the Rfam family "tRNA". Rfam says of the family: Transfer RNA (tRNA) molecules are approximately 80 nucleotides in length. Their secondary structure includes four short double-helical elements and three loops (D, anti-codon, and T loops). Further hydrogen bonds mediate the characteristic L-shaped molecular structure. tRNAs have two regions of fundamental functional importance: the anti-codon, which is responsible for specific mRNA codon recognition, and the 3' end, to which the tRNAs corresponding amino acid is attached (by aminoacyl-tRNA synthetases). tRNAs cope with the degeneracy of the genetic code in two manners: having more than one tRNA (with a specific anti-codon) for a particular amino acid; and 'wobble' base-pairing, i.e. permitting non-standard base-pairing at the 3rd anti-codon position. Lineage: Eukaryota; Metazoa; Chordata; Actinopteri; Cyprinodontiformes; Nothobranchiidae. The record is from RNAcentral.
GUCCCGAUAGCUUAUUAAAAGCAUUAGUUUUGUAAACUAAAAAUGAAGGUUAAAUUCCUUCUCGGAACU